Molecule: long non-coding RNA, 2109 nt
Organism: Cryptomeria japonica (Japanese cedar)
Lineage: Eukaryota; Viridiplantae; Streptophyta; Pinopsida; Cupressales; Cupressaceae
Exons: 3
Source: RefSeq, a predicted model, not a curated record
AUUUGAUUUAGAAUGUACAGUGUUAUCCAAGGAGCUCCGAAAAUUGGCGGGCAGGCAGCCAAAGUAGAGCUGAUCCACUCGCCUGAAAUAAUGGCGUGUUCAUCGAUGGUUGUGUUGGCACAACGUGCCUUCUCUUUUCGGUCAUUGACAUAUUGCCUAUACCCUCGAUAGGACGACCUAAGUAGAUUCGGUUAUACUCUCCGAUUAUGUGAUGUGUUGCCCAUCUCUUCUUGUUACCUGCGCAAAUGUGGGACUAAAUUCAAUUUAAUUUCAACUUUGCAAAUGUGACAAAUCCUACUCCCGUGAAUUUCUUCCCUACCCUUCAUACAGUUUCCACUCUAUUUAUGAAAUCAGCAGGGAAAAGAAGAAGCAGAAACAGUGCGGCACAUGAAAAAUGGCUGUACCGGAGCUCUAACACAGGUUUCAUAUUCGUAUGGCUAAACACUAGAAAAAAGAGGUUUUCCAUGGUUGUAAACCAUGACUUGAUUCACAGAGAAUUUGCGUUUCCAGGUGUGUUGAAAUAAUCUAGGAGGGUUCUUGAGAAGACUACAUGCAAUCUUAACAAAGGGAUACAAUUCAUUGACACAUGGAUCAUAGGAAACAGAAAACUGAGUACCCAAGCACUGGACAAACUACGAUGACGGUAGAAUUAUUGUCUCUUUGUGAUGGAAAAGAGGGCAUUGCAAAGGCUACCAGGUAUAUCUGUUCGGAUAGUUCACAAAAAAAUGAUUUAAAUGGACAGCGUAUGUUUUUAAAGUUGGCAGAGGCUAACAUUGACAGAGAUUGAAAGCAACUGGUUGGUUCCACUUUCCAUUUCCUCAAUUUCAUUUUUUAGUCACAAUGAUGCACUCUAUAUUUACCAUUCAGCAUAAUCUCAUAUGACUGAUAACUUGUGCAGAAUUUCGUAUCUUUAGAGUGAAAUAAUAAUUUAUUAUGGAAAGCUACUGUAAAUAAAAAUGCAUACAAUUCUAACUUGCAUGGAGAUGAGGUACCUAUGAUUCGAAAAUUUUGAAAAAAAAAGAUACCCUUUUCUAUAUAUGUAUAUUCAAUUGUACAAAUGACCAACAUGUAAGUUUCUUGUAAAUCUAAAAUUUUGGAAAAAAAAACAAGAUACCCUUUUCUUUAUAUGUAUUUUCACAUGUACAAAUGACAAACAUGUAAGUUUCUUGUAAGGAAAGAGGUUGGAGUGAGCUCUCAGGUCCCAGGGAAAUGAACAGUCACCCUCCAUUGAUGACCUGCUUCGAAUUUGCUCUGGCCUUUUGCAUCUUCUUUGUUCCUUUGGCUGGCCUUGGAUCAUUCUUAGUUCUCUUUGGGGGGCUUUGGGAAGUAUUGGUUUAUGUUUUGCAUUUCCUUUCCUGCACUAGGUUUAGGUGCCUUUUUUUUUUGAUAAUAUCCGGUGCGUUGCGGUCAGGGCAUUUAUUGCCCGGGCAAGGUGGUAUCUCUGGGGAACAACCCGAGGUACAUAGGGAUCAAGACAAUGGUAUUGUAAAUAACAAAACUUUCAAGGAGGUGGUGUUGGGAGCGAGCAGAAUGGGUUCCAGAUUCAGUCAGGUUUGAUGUGAGCAUGGAUGGAGCACUCUGUGAAAGUGGAGAAGCCGGAGGCAAGUUCCAAACGGUGAUAUGCUUGAGGGGUCAAAGGUUUAUAAUCAAAGCUUUCUGUAGAAUAUCCCUGAAAAAAAAAUGUCUGCGUCUGAGUUCAGAACACCUGCUCUACAUCUUCUGUUGUUCCAAGCAGAGUAAUGUGGAAAAAUUAGGGGAAUUCAACCUUAUUGUUUCGUAGCUUGGCAUAAGCUCCUAUGGCCACUGCAUUUGAAAUAUCUUGCCAACCCUGCGUACAGCCACAAUCUGAUACAGAGGCACGUGAAUUGUUUGACAAAAUGUUGAAUGAGUGCAGCACAGGGAGGCGUCUCACACAAGGUUUUUGAAAAGUAAUAUUGAUAAAUGUGCACAAAUAGUGUAGAAUCUGACAACAGUCUCUACCCUUGACAAUCUUUAUAAAGAGAUAUCCUCAUGCUAUUUGUAGUAGUGUGUCAAGACUGAUUUCUAUUGAGCUGAGAAAGACCUCUAACAGAGGCACGAUGUACUCCAGUUUUGAAUUGAAUUAAAAAA